RNAcentral lists this transfer RNA (70 nucleotides) under Chloroflexota bacterium. RNAcentral's name for it is "Chloroflexi bacterium (groundwater metagenome) tRNA-Gly". It matches the Rfam family "tRNA". Rfam says of the family: Transfer RNA (tRNA) molecules are approximately 80 nucleotides in length. Their secondary structure includes four short double-helical elements and three loops (D, anti-codon, and T loops). Further hydrogen bonds mediate the characteristic L-shaped molecular structure. tRNAs have two regions of fundamental functional importance: the anti-codon, which is responsible for specific mRNA codon recognition, and the 3' end, to which the tRNAs corresponding amino acid is attached (by aminoacyl-tRNA synthetases). tRNAs cope with the degeneracy of the genetic code in two manners: having more than one tRNA (with a specific anti-codon) for a particular amino acid; and 'wobble' base-pairing, i.e. permitting non-standard base-pairing at the 3rd anti-codon position. Lineage: Bacteria; Bacillati; Chloroflexota. The record is from RNAcentral.
CUGGCUGUGUCAAGUGGGACGACGCAACCUUGCCAAGGUUGAAGCGCGAGUCCGAUUCUCGCCAGCCAGA